Molecule: ribosomal RNA, 286 nt
Filed under: Armadillo officinalis (oak-woodland pillbug)
Lineage: Eukaryota; Metazoa; Arthropoda; Malacostraca; Isopoda; Armadillidae
Description: partial large subunit ribosomal RNA
Source: RNAcentral
UCAUUUGUUAUCUAAAUGAUAACUAGUAUGAAUGGUCUGACGAGAAAAUAACUCUCUAAAAAGAAAAAAUGAAAAUUUAUUUUAAAGUAAAAAAGCUUUAUAACUUUAGAAAGACGAGAAGACCCUAGAACCUGUUCUAUCUAUAUAGUUUGUUGGGGUGACAUUAUUCAAAACAAAUAACUAGCAAAACUUAUUUACUGACUAUAUCUAUCUUUACUAAAAAAAAAAAAGGUACUCUAGGGAUAACAGCAUAAUCUUCUUCUAGAGCCCUAAUCGACAAGAAAGA